This 1451-nucleotide long non-coding RNA is filed under the name Homo sapiens (human). RNAcentral describes it as "HSALNT0321099". Lineage: Eukaryota; Metazoa; Chordata; Mammalia; Primates; Hominidae. The record is from RNAcentral.
UAAGGGAAUUAUUGGGGGAGAUUGCUUAUAUCUUCAAUGUGACUUCAAGUCUAUCUUUUUAUACUUUAUUUGCAUUUAUUAGUGUUUAAUCCCACAGAAUGAUCCCAUUCUCCUAUUUUAAGUGUUCUAAUUCCCGCACACAAUUCCUCUACCUAUAGGUUCUAAAUUUAUAAUUGUAGGUUGAAAGAAUGGUUUUGUUCAUUCAACCCUAAGCAUUCAGUGGUUGCUACAUUCUUCAUGUUACAUUUUCUCAGUUCCUUAUGUUGGUUAACGUCUUACUGAUUAGGCUGAGAACUAGAAUUUCCAUCACAGUAGUACUCAUGCUGAGUAGUCACUGCUUAUUGAUUUGUCUGGUGGAAAACCUGAAGGUAGGACCUGUAUCAGUCAGGGUCUUAGCAGGGAACCCCUGUUUAAUCAAGUUAGGGCUUAAUGGGAGAUAAUUUUCUUUCCAGAGGUACAGGCAGGGUUAAUCACUCCAAUAAGGGAUGUUGAAGUAUCCAGGGUUUCGCUACAGUGGGAAGCUAUUAUUGCCCCUAGGCCUGAAGGUCGAUGACAAGGAAGUUACUAGAAUCUGGCAAGUGAUGGAGUGGAGCUAUAGCCAAGGGGCUGCCUGAGAGGAGCAGUGGCCAAAUGUGAUUGAGAAUUGCUGGUGAAAUGAUUCACCAACCACAGGAAGAGGCUGACCAUCAUAGACCACAUUUCAAUGACUUAUGUUUCAUUAAUGAGUCAUCAUCAAUUUCUCUUUCAUUUUGAUAGCCCCCUCUUAGGAUUCAGGUUUUGAGGUAACUCUUCUACUAGACAACAUUUUAAAGUAGUAACUAUUUUUCUCAUUGCUAUUAACCAAGCCACACAUUAAUGCCGAGCUUCUGUUAAGUAAAAAAUAACUAGGGAUACCAGACUGAGUUUUUCAGCCCAGUCAGAAGAAAAGCAAUUUGACAUACUGUUACCCUUUGCAGUCUUAGCAAGAGAAAGACAAUGCGCUUGUUUAUUGUCUAAAUUAGCACUUUGCCCCUGAUACUCCUCAAAGCUGAAAGACCCUCUAAGAUCAAGAACUGAUGAAGGCUAUAGAAAAAUGUGCUGCUCAAAAGGAGAUUUCCAUCUCGAAAAGGCAAAUUACUGGGAAAAAUGAAUCUGUUUUCUCUGCCAAGCAUUGGAGACAUAGAAGGAGACUGCCUCCUGCUGGGGUCAGUAUUUUCUGCAUCCCAUGAACGGAAGUGAGAACAGCCUUGGGAGCUAAUGCCGAAGGUGGGAGAAUCUGAUGCCCUCAGUCUCCAGUGAACUAAAGCUGAAGAAGACUCAGAUUUCUGACACAAUGGUAACACCUAUCCCUUCUGCCUGUGACUGCCAGGGCUUGCUGUAUGAUGAUAAGAAGAGAAUGUGACACAGAGGAAGGGGAAAAAGUCCAUCCCUCUGCCGCCUCCCUGCUUCAAGUUGUCCUGCCUUUCCCGACG